Molecule: ribosomal RNA, 519 nt
Filed under: uncultured bacterium
Lineage: Bacteria
Description: bacterial SSU rRNA
Rfam family: Bacterial small subunit ribosomal RNA
Source: RNAcentral
GAUCCUGGCUUAGAACGAACGCUGGCGGCGCGUCUUAAGCAUGCAAGUCGAGCGGUAAGUUGGAAGCUUGCUUCUAACCUAGAGCGGCGGACUGGUGAGUAACGCGUGGGUGACGUACCCUUGUGACGGGGACAGCUGGUAGAAAUAUCAGAUAAUACCGGAUACGCUGAGUGUUGUCAGAGGACACUCAGGAAAGGAACUUUUGUUCCGCACGAGGAGCGGCCCGCGUACUAUUAGCUAGUUGGUGAGGUAACGGCCCACCAAGGCGACGAUAGUUACCGGCCUAAGAGGGUGAUCGGGCACAUUGGGACUGAGAUACGGCCCAGACUCCUACGGGAGGCAGCAGCUAAGAAUAUUCCGCAAUGGACGAAAGUCUGACGGAGCGACGCCGCGUGGAUGAUGAAGGCCCGGAAGGUUGUAAAAUCCUUUUAUGACUGAGGAAUAAGAGUGGUGAGAGAAACGCCAUUUGGUGACUGUAGGUCAUGAAUAAGCAACGGCUAAUUACGUGCCAGCCGCAGC